Long non-coding RNA from Manacus vitellinus (golden-collared manakin), 378 nucleotides. RefSeq lists it as uncharacterized. NCBI's taxonomy places the organism in Eukaryota, Metazoa, Chordata, Aves, Passeriformes, Pipridae. The transcript has 3 exons. The record is from RefSeq and is a predicted model, not a curated record.
CAUUUUGAAUCUGAAGUGUGACUACUAGAAUUGAAAAGACAGUUGGUACACAACCCAGCUUACUGUUACUUCAGUUUUGCUUAUCAGUAAAGACAUAUCCUAAAGCGACAUCUGCAUUUGUUACUGGAGAUUUCUACUUACACAGCACAGUGCAAUGGAGAGAAGCUAUUACCAUAGAAUUUGUGGAAAAGUUUUUGUUCCAAUAGUACCUCUAUGCAGUUUUCAUGACCUAUAAGAGAUCAGAUAUUUCACAGUGUUGCACAAAGCAGAGGCCACUGCUACCCUGUACGGAGCUCCUCCAGGAACAGCAGAGGAGACACCUUCCCUUUGGCACCUCCAGAUAUUUACCUGACAGGUACAUAUCCAAUAACAACCUUC